GAUGAACGCUGGCGGCGUGCCUAAUACAUGCAAGUCGAGCGAACGGACGAGAAGCUUGCUUCUCUGAUGUUAGCGGCGGACGGGUGAGUAACACGCGGAUAACCUACCUAUAAGACUGGGAUAACUUCGGGAAACCGGAGCUAAUACCGGAUGAUAUUUUGAACCGCAUGGUUCAAAAGUGAAAGACGGUCUUGCUGUCACUUAUAGAUGGAUCCGCGCUGCAUUAGCUAGUUGGUAAGGUAACGGCUUACCAAGGCAACGAUGCAUAGCCGACCUGAGAGGGUGAUCGGCCACACUGGAACUGAGACACGGUCCAGACUCCUACGGGAGGCAGCAGUAGGGAAUCUUCCGCAAUGGGCGAAAGCCUGACGGAGCAACGCCGCGUGAGUGAUGAAGGUCUUCGGAUCGUAAAACUCUGUUAUUAGGGAAGAACAUAUGUGUAAGUAACUGUGCACAUCUUGACGGUACCUAAUCAGAAAGCCACGGCUAACUACGUG
This 497-nucleotide ribosomal RNA is filed under the name uncultured bacterium. Its description in RNAcentral is "partial 16S ribosomal RNA". It matches the Rfam family "Bacterial small subunit ribosomal RNA", at positions 28 to 507 of the family's 1533-position model. The record is from RNAcentral.